Molecule: long non-coding RNA, 223 nt
Filed under: Musa acuminata (dwarf banana)
Lineage: Eukaryota; Viridiplantae; Streptophyta; Magnoliopsida; Zingiberales; Musaceae
Description: long non-coding RNA (MACU_LNC006607)
Source: RNAcentral
AUCCCUCUCCAAUAAAAAUUUUGCUUCACUCUUUUGUAGGUUCUUAGGAAUCCAGAGUGCCUUGCUGAAGGUAUGGAGUGCAUUUCAUGCAGGAUGAUUGUGAAACAAGGGGAGUCAGGUAUAAGCACAAUACGACCUUUGUAGCGUAGAUCCCUCGAAUCCCAAGUGUAGUGGGCUAUUGCACUUGGAUCCUCCUCCAAUUUUUUUAUAAUGUUGUUGAUCU